UAGUCAGAGUCUGCAAAGUGAUUUCUAAUCGACGCAUCGAUCGCAACUAAAAAUCGUGUUUUCACCAUGAAAAUCACCAAAGUCAGCAUCGGGUUGGAUGUUUGGUUGCCCAGAAAAACAACGACGUUAUCACUGUCGAGAUAAGAUGGGGACGGCAUCGCGAGAGAAUCAAUUCCGGUUUGGCACAAUCAAGGAUUUGCAGUUUACACAAAUUCGAAAUUCGAAUCUACAUUCUAAUGCGGAUUCAAUCCGAGCGAGUAGAGGAGCGUGUCUUCCCUGGACCAAUUUCGAAUACAAACCGAACUCAAAUUGGAUACCCACAAGUUUAACUCCUUCGGGAAUAUUUCCAUUUCGAUUUGAGCUCGAACUGAUUGCAGGUUUCUAAAUGCUUCAUCGAUUGUGCGCGAUUGAUGUGCGGCGUUCGUACUACACGGAUUGUACAUACUCAGAGGUUAAGCGUGAGUGAUGUUCCGUCGGUCGCCGUAUUAUACGCGUAUUUCAUCGGUUCUACAAUGUGCAUAAUUAAGGUCUACAACUUAUUGGAUAUACCAAAACGCAAUAAUUUAUUUUGCAUCAAGGUAUGUUCUCGCAUUUCCUCAGCCAUUUGAAAAUUAAACCCAUUAUUGACUUUACUUGUUUGCACUUUUCCAAUUGUUUUACAUAAUUCAAAAUAAAAUUCUGAUGUGUGCUUUAAUUUUUUUUGUUUUGGAUUUCGAAAGUAAAUUAAAUUCUGAAUGCAGUAACACAAUUAUAGAUUAAAGCCCUAUUGACGUGUAAAAACCAAUUUUUGUAUUAAAAAUGCAAAUUGUAUCAAACUAAUUGACAUUGAUAUACCUAUACAUAAAUAAUCAAAGUAUAUAAUACUUCAAUUAUCUACCUGGUGUCCCCAACUAAAGCCGGCGGGCUGACAAUUCUCUUUCCUCCUUAGUCGGUCGUGCGCGAUGGUGUCGUGAGCACGUGUUUUGUUUGUGAGUAUAUUACUCACGUCGAUAUUAGUAGACAAUUUGAAUUUGAGAAUGUGUGGCUUACAGUUAUUGAAUUGUCGCGCAUAGAAUCGGAUAUUGAGUGACUUAUCCUAAUAUUUGUGGCUGCCGUCGGAUACCGUCCCCUUGAUAAUACGUCGAAUUGGUAUUAUUAAUUAUUUAUUCAACGGUUAAUUAGUUCAAAUAAGCAACCUUUCUUACUAUGAAAUUAUAUGAAAAGUCUGUUGCUAGCGG
Dalotia coriaria is the source of this 1217-nucleotide long non-coding RNA. RefSeq lists it as uncharacterized. The record is from RefSeq and is a predicted model, not a curated record. The transcript has 4 exons. Lineage: Eukaryota; Metazoa; Arthropoda; Insecta; Coleoptera; Staphylinidae.